GAGAACUUAGCAGAGAUUGCUUUGGUGCCUUCGGGAACUCUGAGACAGGUGCUGCAUGGCUGUCGUCAGCUCGUGUUGUGAAAUGUUGGGUUAAGUCCCGNAACGAGCGCAACCCUUAUCCUUUGUUGCCAGCGGUUCGGCCGGGAACUCAAAGGAGACUGCCGGUGAUAAACCGGAGGAAGGUGGGGAUGACGUCAAGUCAUCAUGGCCCUUACGGCCAGGGCUACACACGUGCUACAAUGGCGCAUACAAAGAGAAGCGACCUCGCGAGAGCAAGCGGACCUCAUAAAGUGCGUCGUAGUCCGGAUUGGAGUCUGCAACUCGACUCCAUGAAGUCGGAAUCGCUAGUAAUCGUAGAUCAGAAUGCUACGGUGAAUACGUUCCCGGGCCUUGUACACACCGCCCGUCACACCAUGGGAGUGGGUUGCAAAAGAAGUAGGUAGCUUAACCUUCGGGAGGGCGCUUACCACUUUGUGAUUCAUGACUGGGGUGAAGUCGUAACAAGGUAGGCGUAGCGAG
RNAcentral lists this ribosomal RNA (519 nucleotides) under uncultured bacterium. RNAcentral's name for it is "bacterial SSU rRNA". It matches the Rfam family "Bacterial small subunit ribosomal RNA", at positions 991 to 1509 of the family's 1533-position model. The record is from RNAcentral.